GCCGGGGCCGGGGCGUAGGGGCCGUUGCCCGCGAUGGACCGCACCAGAGACGCUCCGGACUCGUCGCCGCAGGAUGGGAUUAUUCCUGACUGAGUGCUCACUGAAGCCCAGAGAGCUAGAAUGAGAUGAGGAAAGCAACCUCGCUUUGUGCAGACGCAGCCAGAUAGAGGGGCUGAUGCUUUUUGGAGGUGUCCACCCCCCAGGGUUCCUGACCCUUGCCCCUGGACAGCGACCCCUUCUCAGACUCCAGUUGGGCCGGACUCUCCAAACCUGCUUCCGCAAUGGGUGGGUUGUGAGUGCUGGUAAUGAGGAGCCGUGGGUGCAGCCAGCCUUGGAGAUGCCGAAGAGACGGGACAUCCUAGCAAUCGUCCUCAUCGUGCUGCCCUGGACUCUGCUCAUCACCGUCUGGCACCAGAGCACCCUCGCACCCCUGCUCGCGGUACAUAAGGAUGAGGGCAGUGACCCCCGACGCGAAACGCCGCCCGGCGCCGACCCCAGGGAGUACUGCAUGUCUGACCGCGACAUCGUGGAGGUGGUGCGCACCGAGUACGUGUACACGCGGCCCCCGCCAUGGUCCGACACGCUGCCCACCAUCCACGUGGUGACGCCCACCUACAGCCGCCCGGUGCAGAAGGCCGAGCUGACGCGCAUGGCCAACACGCUGCUGCACGUGCCCAACCUCCACUGGCUGGUGGUGGAGGAUGCGCCGCGCCGGACGCCGCUGACCGCGCGCCUGCUGCGCGACACCGGCCUCAACUACACGCACCUGCACGUGGAGACGCCCCGCAACUACAAGCUGCGCGGAGACGCCCGCGACCCACGCAUCCCGCGGGGCACCAUGCAGCGCAACCUGGCCCUGCGCUGGCUGCGCGAGACCUUCCCGCGCAACUCCAGCCAGCCUGGCGUGGUCUACUUCGCCGACGACGACAACACCUACAGCCUGGAGCUCUUCGAAGAGAUGCGCAGCACCAGGAGGGUGUCCGUGUGGCCCGUCGCCUUCGUGGGUGGCCUGCGGUACGAGGCCCCACGGGUGAACGGGGCAGGGAAGGUGGUCGGCUGGAAGACGGUGUUUGACCCCCACCGGCCAUUUGCAAUAGACAUGGCUGGAUUUGCUGUCAACCUGCGGCUCAUUCUGCAGCGAAGCCAGGCCUACUUCAAGCUGCGAGGUGUGAAGGGAGGCUACCAGGAAAGCAGCCUCCUUCGAGAACUUGUCACCCUCAACGACCUGGAGCCCAAGGCAGCCAACUGCACCAAGAUCCUGGUGUGGCAUACACGGACAGAGAAGCCAGUGCUGGUGAAUGAGGGCAAGAAGGGCUUCACUGACCCCUCGGUGGAGAUCUGAGCCUCAGGAUGCAGGUGCACGGGUGAGACCCUAUGCAGUGAGUGUGGACAGAGGAAAGAAACAGCCCAAGGAGUGGGCCAGAGACCCCCAGCAUUCAGAGGCUGGAUAUGAAGAGGGAUCCUCCAAAGAGACCUAGAUGAGGCCAUACCGUGUGGAAGAUAAUGGAAACAUCUUCAGUCAACGCUGGAGAAUAAGCUCUGCCAAGAGGUACUUUGAUAGAGAAGCUGAGCAAUUAACUGGCAGAAAAGAAGGGCGAGAAUAAGAAGCUGGUGUAGGAAGACCUCACCUGAGGAAACGAGUGUGUCCUGCUCAGGUCUGCAUGGAAGUGUGAUCCAAGGGGCUUCUCCACCUUACAGGAGGAUUUGCAGGAAGGCUCCCUUCCAUUCCAUCACUUUCUGACAGAACCAGCUCAUACACAGCUCUGCAGAAGCACACACUCAGGUAAAGCGGGGCAGAAGACCCUGCAGGUGGCUUAGGCCACACCCAAGUAGCCCGAGUCUCAUCCACAUCUUAGCCCCAUGCUUGUCGUUCCAAGGCAGUUCCAGAAGAACUGGUGAGUUUGGGCAAAACCAGGGACUCUGCCCCAUGUUGUUCCCAAGCCACUGUCGACAAGCUUCCCUUUAAUAAGCUCCAUUUAAUAAGCCCUUGACCCGGCUCAGCUGCUGGGCUGCACACCACGAAUGUCCCCUGCACUCCCCCUGGGCAGCCACACACGGGCAGCAAGCCUGCUGGCCUCAGUGAGCUCCACGGCUCACCAUCCCCCAGCCCACCUUCACGGGGCUCCCAGAGCUCUCGCUGUGCCGGGGAUGUGUGUGCUACUUGACUUUCUGACUCUUACUGGAGAUAAUUUGGUUUUGGCAGUAGAUGCCAGAUGUAGUUUGUGAAGCAAAACUCAACCCCGCAGUUAACUCAUAUGGAGCGCCCUUGACUGCCUGGCAGAUUCUUACCCCCGCCCACCAGCAUGAGAAUGAAUUUGCAUUUGAACUGUCCUCUCCAGGGCACUUCCAAUCCAGAGACAUUUGAAGGGAAGUCGGGGUCAGGAGGGGAAGAUGAGGCCAGGAUCAUGGCCCACCCACCCCCGGGACGGUCCCCAUCUGGACCCCCAGGCGGCAAGUGGGGCCCAAUGGGAACCUGACCGAGAAAACCAAGCUCUCAGACAGCCUUCCCUUCUGGCAAGAGUGGCACACAUGACCAGAGACUAUCACCAGAGGGGGUGUGAUUCAAGGCUAUAGCUUUACUGCAACUCAGGACAGUGAGCCCAAGCCAGGUGUUGGGUUGGGCCCCAGAACAAGGCUUAAAUGCGGACGUGGACACACCUCGAAGGAGGGCUGCUCCGCCCCUGCUGCUCGGGCGUUGGGGGUGGGGGGCGGGGGCCACUGAGCUGGGCCUUCUGUCCUCCUCCCUGGAUGUGCAGACAUGGGCCAUGGCUUCUGCCAGGACUCACAUGUGAGCUGGGCCUUCUGUCCUCCUCCCUGGAUGUGCAGACAUGGGCCAUGGCUUCUGCCAGGACUCACAUGUGAGCUGGGCCUUCUGUCCUCCUCCCUGGAUGUGCAGACAUGGGCCAUGGCUUCUGCCAGGACUCACAUGUGAGCUGGGCCUUCUGUCCUCCUCCCUGGAUGUGCAGACACGGGCCAUGGCUUCUGCCAGGACUCACAUGUCCUCCUCACUGAACACCAGAGACACUUGCUAACUCGGGAAGACGCAGGGUGAGGAUUUCUGUUUCUCCAGCCCAGCCUGUCACCCUGUGGGAAGCAGCGAGUGGGAAGGGAAAGGGGAAGUCACAUGUUUCUCACGCCGAGUUCCUUCCAGAAUCCCAAAGAAGGCUCAGAAGGUUGUGAAGGAAGAACAAAGUCAGCUCAGAUGCGUUGGUGACCCGCUGCACGUCUGCAAGUGCCUCUGAGCCUGCUCCCAGGACGGCCAUCCUGCUGCCCACCCGACUCCUACAACCUGCUGAUCCCCAGCUUCCCGGCAAGAUCUAGGCUAAUGACUUCCCAGUUCCUUGCUUCUGUCAUGGUUAAGGCUGCCGGAUUUAGUAAACAAAAAUACCGGACAUAAAGUUAAAUUUCAAUUCACAACAAAUAAUUUUUUAGUUAACGCACCCAAGUGAGACAACACUGAAAUGCACAGAUCUUUCAAAAGACAACUCUUGCAAGCCCCUCAGUUAUGAGUCUCCGGCGGUGAGGAAGAGCCUGCUCGUGUGUUCAAAACACUGGAGGACCCUUGGUCUGAGAACUAACCAAGGAUGAUCCACGACCUAGAGGAAGACAGACCAAGAUCAAAGAAGACCCCAUUUGCUUGUACCUGGAGUGGCACCACCCUGGACAUCAGGUGGUCAAAAUAAAGGUCCACUGCUUCGGUGAAGCCCUUGACUGGAACCAAGAACUAAGUGAACUGAUCUAGGGACCAGAAUCGAGGGCAAGCCCUCUUCCCUCUGCAUCAACAAGAUUUGGAUGAAGCAUAAGACCGGCUGAGUAAAAGGUCAGGCGCUCUGACCCCAGUUAGCUUACCGUGCCCACGCCCCAUUGGAGAAGAAAAUGUAACUUUAUCAAAAAAACAGCUACAAGGAGUAAGGGGAAAGCUCGGUGAUCAUCCUAUAUUUACUGAAGCCCCGGAAUUCCAAAACGGGCAACAGAAUGAAGCUUCCAACUCGAAAGACAGGACAAGGGAUGGAGCAGGCUCAUGGACAGGCUCAACUCGAGAGGCGGAAGGGACGACUCAUGGAUGACACAGUGAUGGCAGCUGCUCUUCUCCCGGCCCCACCCCAUCGCUGGCUUUCGCAGAGCCUCUGCCCACUACAAAGAAUAUUCUCAGGUGAAGGAGGAGAGCCUGCCUGGCUUCCAACCCAGACACACGAGCUCUGCCUUUCAGCAAGUGUCGUCGGUGCUGCUUCUGCGGGUCAGAGUGCUGAGCCUGCAGCGCUCCCACAACCUUCAGGAGUCCUUUCGGGGACGUUGUCAAGGCUCGGCACGUUUCUGUAACUCUUUAAGGAACUGUCUUCAAAAUCAGUUCAUAAACCACCCAUGAAAAGCCAUCUCCUUGAUUUGUAAUCACAUAUUUUUGCCUAAACAUGGAAUAAUCCAGCCUGAUCACCCCCUUUAUUUCAUAGACUUAGAGUCAAGUAUCAGUUGGCAAUCUGGGGGGAAACCCAUGAAAAGAUCCAGGUUAUUCACAACUGAGCACACUUUAUAAAUGAUUUGCAAAUUCGACAGUUUACUGCGUGCCUACCAUGUGCCAAUCAUCACAGCAGAGGCUGGGAUGGCACCCACAGCAUUCUAGGACCGCUGCUCAAGAGCAGUGCUGAAAACUGGGGCCAGAGAGCCUCUCAGGCAGCUCUCCUGAAGAAGUCUCCGUUCACUGGCUGUAUAAACUGCAAGUGGGAAGACUGCUUGUAACACAAAAAGAUUCGCUAGCACUGAAUCACCUCCUCAAUCUGCACUCACCGCCUUCCCUAUACUCUUUUGUGCGACAUUGCUACUUCGGUUCCUCUAGACCUCACAUCCAUUUCAUGUCCCUUCGCACCCAUGAGUCAGGAGCUCUGUGGUGGGGAGGAGGAGGGAGACCCUGGCUCUCGCCCUGGGCAGAGGACCUGGGCCGGUUCCUCGUAUAUUUUUUCGCAUGCAGACACCAGGCGCCCUGCUUAGGAACCAGGCUCCGGGGGCACAGGGGCAGCACCUACGUGGUGAGGGUGUUCAAGCCACAGGCCUUCAUCUUCAGCAGGCGGUCCCUCCAGUACUCCCUGGGCACACGGAAAUAGUGGAUGGAGCCCCCGAAGAUCCAGAAGGUGGAACCCUCCAGCACGAAGUUCCAGCCCUUGGCCUGCAGCCCCAGCUGUCGAUGGCGGAGCCGCAGAGGGACCAGGGUGCUCCAGUCCAGCCUGGAAAGACAAAGACAUUCUGGAGCCUGGAGGCUCCGGGCCGCAGGGGCCAGGGUGCAGAGAGAUGAGCUUCCUCGCCCCUUCGCAGGUCCUCGGCAUUUCUCUCUCGAGAGGGCCUGCGUCCCGGUGGCUGGGAAAUCUCCCCCCUCCGCCUCAGCCCAACCUGGGAAGGGGUCUUUCUUCAGCACGGGGCCCCGCGGCAGGGGAAGGGCAAGCCGCGGCUGCAGCCAGCAGCAAGACAAGCACAGCACGCGGCAUGAAGGCCGGCGGGCUGAAAGGAGAGACGGCAGCCGUCACGCCACGGGAGAGGCUGCUGCUGGGGCCGGGCCGGGGCGGGCGCUGCACGGGCUUCACCAUGGCCACCUCCGCGGCCACGCGGCUACACGCGACAGCGGCAGCGACUUCACACGGUACCUCCGAGCCCCGGCACGGUCGCAGCCGCCCGACUGGAGGAGCAGAGACCUGGAAAGAGGGUCCGCGUUAGCGGCGUCCACCCAUCCACCCGAUUCCAGGUCUUCAUUAUUUUCUGAAGAUCGCGCACCCCCCAAGAGGCGACCCAGCUAGAGCAGAGUCCCCCACGGGAAGGCCGUGGAAGGCUUCGGUCCGCGAGAAAGCUCCUCUCGGCAUCCCUCGGGGUCGGCCCCAGGGAGCCCCUCAGCCGGGUCCCAGUGACUCGGUGCUGCCGGGUGGGUCUCCUUCCCACCCUGUCUCCCGAAAGCCGUGCGAGAAGCUGGGGAGACCCACAUUUCAAGUCAGGAAGGUCAGGAAAGCUGGAGGCAUGAAACAAGGGCGUGGCUGAGUCUGGGGCAGGGGCCGGUGCUGGGUGGCUGAGUCUGGGGCAGGGGCCGGUGCUGGGUGGCUGAGUCUGGGGCAGGGGCCGGUGCUGGGUGGCUGAGUCUGGGGCAGGGGCCGGUGCUGGGUGGCUGAGUCUGGGGCAGGGGCCGGUGCUGGGUGGCUGAGUCUGGGGCAGGGGCCGGUGCUGGGUGGCUGAGUCUGGGGCAGGGGCCGGUGCUGGGUGGCUGAGUCUGGGGCAGGGGCCGGUGCUGGGUGGCUGAGUCUGGGGCAGGGGCCGGUGCUGGGUGGCUGAGUCUGGGGCAGGGGCCGGUGCUGGGUGGCUGAGUCUGGGGCAGGGGCCGGUGUGGGCUGUACCUUCGUCCCCACCGGCGCUCGCUCCUGCCCUGACACUAGCAGGCGGUGGCCAGCCGGGCCCCACUGCACAAGACGCCCCUCAGCUGAGUGUCACAGAGGGACGGAGCAAGCGAGAGGGCCCAGAUGGCCAGAGACGGGGAGGGGGCAGGGUGCCCACAGGACAGAAGACAGCUCGGACAUCGCCAGCCUCUUGGGAAUUUUGUCUGGGGCCACUCUCAGGCAAAGAAAUUUGCUUUUUUACCUACUCCUACCUACUUCUCACAGCCCCAGGGCCUUAGAACUCACACCGAAGCUCCAGGACUACGGUUCUGCUGUGUUACAGAUGAAAGGGUCAUCUCAUCUUGGGCAACCUGGGAAUCUGUUCACCACAUUUUUCUUUCUCUAAAGAGAAAACUUCCAUGUUCUAGUAAAUGGCUUGCAAAUGACAUUUUAGGACACAGUUCUUCCAAAGGACUGUAUGAGAGAGUGACAGCAAAAACGCUAGCCGGAAUAGGAAGAUCCGGAUGUGAAUCCUGGCCCCCAGCUUGGUAGAACUGUCGCCUUGGGUUAGUGACACCAGUUCUGUGGGCAGGAGCUUCUUCCUCUAUAAAACGGGGCUAAUGCCUGUCCCAACUGCUCAGAAAGGCUGCUGUGAGGGUCCCGGAGAAACGCAACACUCUCUGCUGUGAGUCGAAGGGUCUUAUCUCUAUCUGAAAUCAAUUUAUUGUAGCAUGUGUUUGCGUAUUAGAGAGCUAUGGGAACCUAUUCACCACACUUUUUUCUCCAAAGAGAAAGCUUUAGAGAGAAUAGCCACGAGUGGGUUUUAUGUCCCUAAUGUGGAAUAAUCCCAACUUCUCCAUUCUCCCCAUGGUGGUAGAUAGCUUAUGUGCUAGACUUUGUGCCAAGCCAUCUUAUGACAAUUUCUAAAAUUUGACAGUGAAAGAUUCUGUACACUGAGAUCCUAUUAGACCGACACAGCCUGUAGGCCAGAGGUGGGCCAACUUGGGCCCCGGGUCAAAUCCAGCCUGCCAUCUGUCUGUGCAGCCUGCAAACUGAGGAUAGCUUUCACAUUUUUAAGUGGUUGGAAAAAAAUCAAAAGCAUAAUAUUUUGGGACACAUAAAAAAUUAUAUGAACUUCAGUGUUCAUAAAUCAUUGUAUUGGCACACAGCCACGCCAUCUACGAAUGGCUUUUUGCAGUUGAGUACUUGCGAUAGACUGCGUGGCCUGCAAAGCUGAAAAUAUGUGCGAUCCGCCCUCUCCCAGAAACUCUGCUGGCCCACAUCCUUGCAGAUGAAGCCCUGGAGUGCUAAGACAAGGCCUCAGCCCCUCUGGGCCACCGUCCAGGCCUUCCUUUGGUGCCCCCUGCUCUGCUCACCAGGCGCUUUGCUUUGGCUACAGGCUCCCAACUGCUCAGGCCACACCUGCUCCAAAGCACACACCCUUCCACCUGCUCAGCCCUCCCUGCCUCAGGUACUCACCAGACUCACCUGCGUGCCGCAACACAGGUUCUCCCCCUGCUUCCCUCAGAGGCACAUGCUGGGCUCACCCCAGGCCAGAAUGAGGAAGAACUGGAUGGACAGAUUAUUUUCUUAAAAACAGGGGCAUUUUGACAACCUGGUGGUGAAAAUACACACACACAUGCACAUGCGCACACACACACAAAAUAUCACUGUUUUUAAAGACAGUGACAAUACAACGUAGCAAUCAUUCCACCAGCUACCAAACCUUAUUCUCCAGCCAGAACUUCAAAAGCACAAUCUCCAAUUCUUAUUAAAGCACACAUUACUUAUCCUAACGUCUAUUUAUGGGUGCGAGAGCCUCCACUCCCCACCCUGCUAAAUGUGGAGGUGUAGGCAGGGUUGGAGAAGCCUCUCUGACCGACAUUCCAACACAGUCCCUGCUAGUAACCAACACCUUUAACCUCUCCCCUUGAUUAGCUGAUGACUAAGGAUCAGGAAACCUCCCUCUAGGCUGACUUCUCCAGGUGUGUUCUAUAGACAGCCACACCUCUGAACUCCCUCAGGGUCAAAGCCGCCUGACUCAAAGUGCAGACACCUGGGAAGAGGCAUCCCAAUUCAACAACUUCUAUCCACCAACCAGAUUUCCAGGUCUUCAUCCGCAGCUUGUCAGAAAUGCAUAAACCUUAAGCCUUACUUGAGACCUACUGAAUCAAAAUCUGCAUUCUAACCAAUCCCAAGGUUACAGCUCGAGAAGCCCAAUCUGCGUCUUCUCCUUGGACACUACGUAGACUCCCUCCCUGGAUAGAGCUUGUCUUUGCUAGUGUCUUUAUAACACACCAUUUUCUAUAUUUUUAGAAUCAAAUGUUCUUCUCAGUGCAUAUCAAGAGGAAUGAAAUAAACAACGAGAAUAAAAAACAAUCUAGCUGUUAUCCAAUUCCAAAUUCUGGUGAAUUCAACUGUUUCUUCAUGGGAAUUUUCUGGUAGGUUACUAGAGAAGUUGUCAAUACCUUAUUAAAAGAGAUGGAUUCACCAAGAAAAUGAGGAUGAUACGUGUUGGGUUUCUCCAAGGAAUUCACUGCUAGUAAAUGAGACCAUGCGAGUUAGAGCUUCAUAACAAUGAAGCAUCAUGUAAAUGGUUAUUAACACUGAUAAUGAUCAUUAAUACUAAUAAUCAUAAGAUGGAGAGUAACCCAUAAUUUCCUGAGUAACUCAGUAAUAAUAAAAUAAAGGAAAUAUCAACAGUGUGGUUAGAGUUGGUUGGUUUAAAGGUCAGCAAGACUUUACUCCUAAAUUAGGCUUGAUACCAAGCAGCUAACCAAAUCCUAAGGAAGCCCAGCGUGUUUCUGUCACUUUUCUUGGGGAGCAGUUCAUCCAUGAUGGAUCUUUAUUUGAUGAAACCAGGAACACCUGCCUUCUUUUGAACUGGAGCUUAUGUUAACAUUUUCUCCUAGAAUUUCUGUUGCCUGUGUAUCUUGGCUUCAUUUAUCCAAAGCGAUUUUUCCGCCUUAGAAGGGUCUGGACAGCAGACCCUGAAUUCAGUGCUCAGUGCCCAGGUCUGCUCUGCUCAGAGUCAGGCUCUGCUCCUCCACCUGGACGGAGAGGGUGGCCGUGGUCAUGGUCCAAGGUGAGGUUCCUGGAGGAAGGCAGGCACAUCAGGACUUCUGAUGGGGCCGCACACAACCUAACAAGACCUCUACAGCCCAUCCUCACCAAUUCGCUUUGGCAAGUGGAAAAGGGGCAUGCACUAUUCGUGCCGAAGGCUGUGCAAGCUGCAGACACAAAAAUUGGUUGCAAUGGAAACCUGAAGCAGAGGACACAGGUACCAAGUUCUGCUGUGCCCCGUGGUGAGGAAGCAGGGGGAGGUGGAGCCCUCUGGAGUAAUUUUUCCUUGACUGGUGAGGUGGGUCCUGAGAAUGAAGGGUACAGGGCAGGCCCCAGCAGGCAGGAGAUUCCAGGUGUAGUAAAAAGUGCUCCCGGAUGUGAGUGGAUGGAAAAGGGCAGAUGAGCAGGUGGCAAGGUCACCACCUCUUUCUGGGAAUGGGACUGGCUGUCAAGUUUCAGAGGGGAUCUUGCAGGGCGGCUGGGUGGGAGGUGAGCCAGAUCCUGUCACCACCAGAAAGGAUCUCCUUGAGUGAAGUGUGCCAGGCUUGAAAUGCAUCCUGCCAUGCCAGCAGGCAUCCCUGCAUCACCCGUCAAUCCUGCAAACACUCAUCAGGAACCGGGGUCAUGGUAUGGCUGGGAGGCCUCACUGGGGUCACAGUCAUCUCUUUCUGGUCUGCCAUGCAGAGUAUGACCAGACACAGAUAGGCCAGGAUCCAUGCAACUGGGCACAGCAGAACAUCCGGAGCGCCGUGAACAUCCGGAGUACGAUGACCGCCGGUGGAGACCAGGCAGCACUCACGCAGUCCGAGGCUGGCCACCAGCGUAUGCAAGCUGGUAUCUGAGUCAGAAACUGCAAUCAUUGUCCUUUGAUUCCCAGAACAUAAGUCCUUGCCGGCCCCAAAGGCUGGUUAUUUUGAUGCUAUAACAUAACGUGUUCACAUACUUGUUCAUCUGAGACAAUAGCUUACAAAUUCAAUUUUUAGGUGCACUGUGGCCCUAUUAGGGCCUCCCUAAACAGAGGUUCAAAUGAAUCCAAAUCCAGGGCAUCCCAUGAAGAUCCUGACCAAGAAAACACUCACCUCCACCCUCCUCCACGUGGCCAUGCCAGAGGCCACCAUGUGAUGGCAAGUGUGUUCAGCUGCCCACAAAGACAUCAGAUACAUGGGAAUUCCUCACUUGGAUGUGUCUUCAGUGCAGACUUCCUCACUCUCAGGAUUCUGGUUCGGUUCUAGGCUCCCAUGAGGCUCAACUUCCUUGGACAUCCUGCUGCCCUAAACUGUCUGUUUGGGGAUAUUUUGGUCCCAGCAGCCUUCAGCCAUGUUCUCUCCACCCUCAGCAAAAGAAUUUGAGGGCCUGAAGAAGGAACUAUUCACUCUUUGGCCCAGAUGGUGCCCUUAAUGCCUCUACUCCAAAAUAUUGCCCCUUGGACCAAUCCCCGGGCUCCAAGAACUUCAGCCUCAGGGAAAUGGAAGUCGGUCCCUGUUUUGGGCCCAGCUUUCUAUAUGUGCUCCUUUGUCUGGGCCCAAGGUGCUGGACUCCUGUUUGCUGGCAGAGGCAUUAAAUACGCCCAAGGGCUUGGGCCUACCAUUCCCAAGGCAAGUAUAUGCAUCUUGCAGAGAUGUGAGGUCCCCAGCAAGAGGUCCACAGCACUCCUGCCAUCCUAGCUCCUCUGCUUUUUCCUCUGAAAAGCCUCCCAGGUAAGGCAGGAACCCUGGCCUCACAUCCAGGCUCUGACCCGGAAGCAAUAUUGGUGGUUCAGAGAGCAGUUAUUUCCUAAAGACUGUAGGAAGUGAGUACAUGAAGAAGAGUUUACUAGACCAAAACCUUGAGAUCCAAUAGUAAAGUAACAAAAACCCCUCACUCUAAUCAACCAUAUAACAACAAUAACAACAACAAAAAGUAUUCUAACAUUCUGUGACUCUGUACUUUUGCAGUACUUUGGGACCACUGACAGCAUCAUAAACAAGAAAAGGACUGUGUCUCACCCAGAGAGAAAGCUCUGUUAGAUAACACAAGGCCUCUACUCUUGAUAACAAGCCCCUGAUCUUCGAGAUGCUUGUAGACUCUAAAUGAAAUGAUAUCACAAAUACGGAAAAACAUAAUUAUGUUAAUUUUUUUUUAAUCCACCACAUAGGACUUAUCUAUGAAGAUAUACAAGAGAUGCACUGGCUCUUACAAGACUCAAGAAUCGACUUGGCCCUAUCGAGUUCAGCUCAGAAUCUCCUUUACAUUGAUCCAACAGAAAUAAAAUGUACUAUUUGGAAAUGUCUAUCAAGAUUUAAAAUGAAUCUAUCCUACGGUCAGCAAUUCUACUUAUAGAACUACAUCCAACAGAUAUCUGCAGCAGCUUUGUUUACAGUAGAUAAAAGAUUGCAAACAAUCGAUGUCCAUCAAUAGAAGACUGUUUAAAUAAAUUAUGUGUCUAAUGGACAAGUGGGAUAAUAUGUGUAGCUAUCUUCUUGUAUAUGCAUAGAAUAUUUCUGAAAGAAGCCAUUAUCAGUAAUAACAGCUGAUACGAAUAGGGGAUAGGGAAGUGUGCCUAGGGGCCAGGAGUGGGAGUUUCUUUUCACCUUAUUCCCCUUCACACUCUGAAUACUUACCAUGUUCAUUAAUUGCCUACUCACAAAACAACUUCUUAAGGGAAAAAAAUACAAUCUGUGCUUGAAAGGAACAAGCCCACUGACUGUUUUGCUGAGUGUCAAAGAACAGAAGCUGUGAGUAUCAACAAGGAGUCUCUAACAGGCAGACACGAGUCAAGAAAUAUCUACCUCAUUAGCAGGAGCCUCUAAAAACACCUGCUGCCUUUCUAUCCCAGGAGACAUCCACACAUGAGAACUCUUUUUCAAUACGGUCUUUAAUAUCCAGAGCAAUAGAUUUAAGCAAAAGCUAAAACUGAGUGAAGAGGAAGCAGCAAAUAUCCCAACAUUGACACCAAAAAACCCUGCCCCUGCUGUGUGAUGGUGGAGAGGGAGGGAGGGAGGACGUGCCUAGACCCCAGAGUCCUUUUCAGGUCCAAAUGUUCUCAAACCUUUCUCCGCAAGCUACAGCAUCUCCUGAAUUCUUCCCAGAAGAGCGUCUGACAUGACCUCGUGGAACUCUGCACCACUUCAUCAAGGACUACAUGUUUUUAUUUCACUUGCCACUUCCUUACCUUAAGGUGGGAAGAACCCUUUGGUCAACUUUCUGCUAUUUCUGCAGCCCAGGCUCUUUGUCCCCAAUCUUCUUGGUAGCCCAGUCCCUCCCUUGAAUCACACCUAUACCAAUACUAUGGCUGCUCCAAGACAACUCUGGUCUCCUUCUGCUGGUGGCUAGCAUGGUCCUGUAAGAAUCCCAGAGCCAACUCGAUCUUCCUAGCACAGGGUGAUUCAGACAUCCCUCAACAUCUGUAUCCAACAGGUGAUCACCUGCUGAAAGAGACACUUCCCUGAUGCUGAAAACUUUACUACUACAAGAUGAAAGGAACACUGUUCAAAGAGUUUGAACAUUCCAUGAAAUAUGACUCAGGCCUCAAGCAGAGAAGAGUCCUAGAAUAGGCAAGGCCCAUAAAAUCAAUUACCUCCCAGAAGCUCCAGAGGAGAGGCAUGAUUUGGCCACACACCCUUGGAAGACAAGACUGGCCAUGAUUCACAUCAAAAAAAAAGUGACCUGCAUUGCUAAGUUAGCCACCUUGUUCAGGAGAAAGAGUUUGAUACAUCUCCUCCUUUUCCUUUCUAUAGGAAGAAUUUGGGGUCUGGAAUAAAGAAAACAGCAGGGCAGGGCAGUGUGUGAGACGGACCUCAGAGAAGAAAUGAACUUACCUCUUAGGAGCAUGAUGCUGGCUGCCCACCUGAAGGCUUUCCCCUCUCCCAACUUUCCCAGCUAAAAUUUCAGGUAUGAGAGAUGCAGCGUUGCCUGUAUUUUUGCUCGGUGAUUCAUUUAUAUUAAGGAAAAAAUCAUGAAUGAGAACCAUGCCUUUAGAUAAUAUCAAGCAGGCAUUCUUGUGUUCAUGGAGUGGGAAUAGGAAGAGAAUGAAAGGCAACUGGCUCAAAGGCACGGUUCGCACUGAUACAUGCAUCACAGACCUCAAAAUAAUACUCUGAGUGAAAGAAGCCAGACCAAAAAGGAGAACAUGCUUUAAGAUUACAAUUCUAUAAAACACUAGAAAAUGCAAACCAAUAUAUUGUGUCGGAAAGCAACAGAUCAGUGGUUGCUUGGGGCUGGGGAGCAGGGAGGAGUAGGAGGGAGGGAUGACAGAGAGGUACAUGGAAACUUUGGGGGCUGGUGGCUGUUUUCACAAUCUUAACUGUGGUGAUAGAUUCACAGCUGGAUUUAGAUAUAUGUCAAAGCUUAUCAAAUUGUACAUGUUAACUAUGUGCAGUUUGUUGCAUGACAAACUCCAAUAAAGGUAAUUUUUAAGAAAGACCACUGUUUACGCUUAAAAAAAGAAAAAUAAAAAUUCUAAGACUGAAAUCCUCCCCAAAAGUCAA
RNA transcript from Pan troglodytes (chimpanzee), 13873 nucleotides. It is a transcript of the gene named beta-1,3-glucuronyltransferase 1, with no coding region annotated. The record is from RefSeq and is marked provisional. NCBI's taxonomy places the organism in Eukaryota, Metazoa, Chordata, Mammalia, Primates, Hominidae. The transcript is spliced from 11 exons.